Molecule: ribosomal RNA, 422 nt
Filed under: uncultured archaeon
Lineage: Archaea
Description: bacterial SSU rRNA
Rfam family: Archaeal small subunit ribosomal RNA
Source: RNAcentral
UCAGCCGCCGCGGUAAUACCAGCUCUCCGAGUGGUGUGGACGUUUAUUGGGCCUAAAGCAUCCGUAGCUGGCUGAACAAGUCCCCUGUUAAACCCACCGAUUUAAUCGUUGGCGUGCGGGGGAUACUGCUUGGCUAGGGGACGAGAGAGGCAGACGGUAUUCCCGGGGUAGGGGUGAAAUCCUAUAAUCCCGAGAAGACCACCAGUGGCGAAGGCUGUCUGCUAGAACGCGCCCGACGGUGAGGGAUGAAAGCUGGGGGAGCGAACCGGAUUAGAUACCCCGGUAGUCCCAGCCGUAAAGGAUGCGGGCAAGGUGCUCGUCGCUCUUCGAGGGCGCCGGGUGCCGUAGAGAAGUCGUUAAGCCCGCCGCCUGGGAAGUACGGUCGCAAGGCUGAAACUUAAAGGAAUUGGCGGGGGAGCACA